RNAcentral lists this ribosomal RNA (752 nucleotides) under uncultured bacterium. RNAcentral describes it as "bacterial SSU rRNA". It matches the Rfam family "Bacterial small subunit ribosomal RNA", at positions 94 to 863 of the family's 1533-position model. The record is from RNAcentral.
AGCGGCGGACGGGUGAGUAACGCGUAGGCAACCUGCCCCAUACAGAGGGAUAGCCUCGGGAAACCGGGAUUAACACCUCAUGACACCGAGGGUCCACAUGGAGCUUCGGCCAAAGAUUUAUCGGUAUGGGAUGGGCCUGCGUCUGAUUAGCUGGUUGGUAGGGUAACGGCCUACCAAGGCGACGAUCAGUAGCCGACCUGAGAGGGUAAUCGGCCACAUUGGAACUGAGACACGGUCCAAACUCCUACGGGAGGCAGCAGUGGGGAAUAUUGCACAAUGGGCGAAAGCCUGAUGCAGCAACGCCGCGUGAGCGAAGAAGGCCUUUGGGUCGUAAAGCUCUGUCCUUGGGGAAGAAACAAAUGACGGUACCCGAGGAGGAAGCCCCGGCUAACUACGUGCCAGCAGCCGCGGUAAUACGUAGGGGGCGAGCGUUAUCCGGAAUUAUUGGGCGUAAAGAGUGCGUAGGUGGUUUUUUAAGCGUGGGGUGAAAGGCAAUGGCUCAACCAUUGUAAGCCUUGCGAACUGGAAGACUUGAGUGCAGGAGAGGAAAGCGGAAUUCCUAGUGUAGCGGUGAAAUGCGUAGAUAUUAGGAGGAACACCAGUGGCGAAGGCGGCUUUCUGGACUGUAACUGACACUGAGGCACGAAAGCGUGGGGAGCAAACAGGAUUAGAUACCCUGGUAGUCCACGCUGUAAACGAUGAGCACUAGGUGUCGGGGUCGCAAGGCCUCGGUGCCGCAGUUAACGCAUUAA